CUGGGGUCAGUCUCUACAGGUGCCCAGUGCUCUGUUUCACAGGCAGUGGGCGGCGAGGAAGCUGUUGCUUGGGGCCUGCAGAUGGAGUCCUGUCUGGAAGGAGGGUCUGGAACACACACCCUCCUGCCGCAGCAAGCUGAGGCGCCUGGAGGUAAGCCAUGUGGAGGACUUACUGUUCUCACAGGUGGCAUCUCUGCUUGGGACCCUAUGCCUUGAGGGGGACCCAGCCCCUGCCCCCAGCGCCGGGGAUGGAACCCAUGAUCUCAAAUAUUCUGGGCAAGCACGUCACUGCUGAGUUCCCUCUCUAGUCCCAAUUCCCUCCUUCCUAACGCCAGAGCAAGGACGACAGUCCCACAGAGCCGGGGCAGAAGUGUGGUCCUCUUCCCUCACCCAGCCAUAUGUGCAGACCUUUGCCCUGGCCAAGUCUCAAACGAGGCUCCCAUCGGCUUCCCUGGCAGGUGGGCCUGGCGCUAACGCUGCCUACUCUAUUGUCUGUUAUAUCAGGGCCAGAAGAGGGGCUGUCCUGGUCAUGUCUAAGGCAGCAGGGUUGGGGACAGGACACACUUACACACACUACACAGGGGAGCUUGAGUCUAAACCGUUUAUUUCACAGUUGAGGUGGACUUGAACCCAUGCCCACUCUCCUCCCAGAGAAGAGUGCACGCACAGAAUCGACCUUUGGGAGCUGGGAGGCUCUUAAGGUGGGGAGGCUGCAGGUGCAGAGGGGCAAAGUCGAGCAGACUGGAUUUCACCUGAUGAUGGGGUGGAACCCCAUUUCUGUAAUCCCUGACUUCAGGAAGUGGGGAGAAGGGGUGGGUUUUGGUGGCUGGGGACCCUGGGAGAACCCUCUGGGCACUCUGGGCACCUUAGUGUUGAUUUCACUGAUAUGUGGGGCAACUGACGGGCCAGCUGUCAUUCACAGUCACAUAAAGGGGCUGAGGGGACUCUGGGCAAAGUGCAGAUGGGUCAGGAGGGGCCUUGUGGGGAGCCUGCUAGUGCUCUGAGCCCUAGUCCUCAGUGGACACAGCUGCCUGGCCCAGCUUGGCCCCCAGUGUGCUGGGUGGCCUGGCACACCGCUGCCAGCAUGGCCCAGGGCUCAGGGCGACAGCAGCAUUUGGACGAGCUUCUGGAACUCCUCCCGGUGCUCGUAGAUGUAGACCUCCGUCUCCCAGAGGGCAUUGACCAGCACCGCAUCACUGACCUCGUCCAGCAUGAUGUCUGCUCCUAGCUGUGGGUUCAGUCUGUUGGGAGAAAGGAGGAGAGGGUCACUCAGGAUGCUCAGCCUAGGUAGGGACAGGAACUUGGGCUGGGGAGGGCAGCUAGGAAAGACCACAUCAAGGGUAGGUGGGUAUGUGUCCAUGAAUCUCGUCAGGUGGGUAUGUGUCCAUGAAUCUCGUCAGGUGGGGUGGGGGCAAGGACCUCUGUUGGUGAGAUGGGUGUGGGGGGGCCUGGCGGAGUCGGGUCAGACUCAAACCUUACCUGAAGUACUGGAUGCCAACCAUCUCACACCAGGCCCGGGCCCGGUCCACGGCCCGGCCAUCUGGAUCCGUGCACUGAGGGAAAGAGUGUCCGUAAGCCCUGGCCACAGUGCCCUGCUACCCACCCUCCAAGAUGCCUGGGCUCUAGCCAUUCACUAGCAGAGUGAUCUGAACAGGUCCAGGAGUCUGGGCCUCAGUGACUGCCUAGCUGUGCAGAAUCAGCUCAGGAUCUCUGAGGGCAGUGACAAGGGGCCUUGCAUUCCCUACUGUAGAUUUCAUCCACGUGCAUCCUGGCUUUCCACAGAGCUGUGUGCACAGAGAUCUAUAGUCAAAGAACAUCUGAAACCUGGUGGGGUCUGGUCAGCCUGGAGCCUGAGUCUGGGCUGUCUCCCAGAGCUGACUGACAGGGAUGGACAUGGCAGUGUGUGGAGGCAUCGGCCAGAGAUGGAGACCUGAGGGGAAGGCCGGGGAAGGAUACCAACUCACACAGUCUACCACCAUCUUGCCCAGUUCCUUGGCUCCAAAAACAGUCUUGGCCAGUUCCCAGGGGUUACUGGGGCGGAAGACAUCUACACAGGUUACAGGCACUUGAGGGGACCUUCCUGUCCCCAGAGAGACGACUAUGGAGAGUUUCUUCACCUUGUUGCCUUGGCCCUGUGGUGAGCAGGACAAAGGCAGUCAGAGGUAGGGUCAGAGAGGCCAAAGCUGAGUGCAAGGCUGUGAGGGGCACAGACAAGGCCUUGAACAAGAGCAAUCCAGAUUCUAAUCCAAGGUGCAUGUCGGUGCUCCAGGUCUGUGCUGGGCUUGUGUGACUGCGGGAGCCAGCUGUGCACACCUGGUGGGGUGCCUUCAAGACUGCCACAGGCCCCGCGCCCCGAGUCCACAGGGCGCUCAGACGGGCACGGCUGCUGCUGGAGGUCAGGAGACUGAUCAGCUCACCACAGCAUGCUCGGCUCCCUCGGCGCACAGGUCUUGUCACUGUCUCCACACUGCCCCGUGCCUCAGGACAGGUUCCAAGCUCAGGAGCCCUUCCCCAGACCUUAGUCCUCUCACACAGGCCCUCCUCCUCCCGCCUCUGCAGGGGCUCCUCCAGAAAGGACACACACAGGAGAGUAUCCUGCUUGUGCAGUCUCCAAGCAGGAUGCAAGCUCUGCAAGGCCAGGGCGUGUCUCAGCUGGGGAGUGUCAGAUGUGCAGCCUAUACACUGCCCUCCCUAACGGCAGGUGCGGGCUACAGAUGACAGUCGUCCCUGUGCUCCGUGUGGACGGAGCCUCAGAAGUCUACAGACACUGCCCAUCAGAGAGGCCGUGCGUGCGUGGGAUAUGACUGCCGCCGAGUGUUUGAGCAACUGGUGAGGACAUGCAUCAGAGCGGUCCGCGCUCAUCAGCAGUGUGGGGCGUGUCCAUCUGUGACCCGAGAGGCUCUCACCUUUCGGAUCAUGUCCUGAUUGUAUUCAUGGAUUUCAGUCAUGGCAUCUAGUGUGGGGUUGUUGGCCAGCAGUCCACCAUCCAGGAAGCGUCCAUUGGGCCGGAAGUAGGUUGGGGCUGCCCCACUGCUCCGGGCAGCCCGCCACACCAGUUGGUCUAGGGGUGGGAAAAGACGGUGGCUCCAUGACAUAACACCUGUCCCUUCCCAUCUCAGGGUUCAGAGGGAAGAACCAGGAAGUUACUAGAAACAGGACCCAUAAGGCCUUGCUGCUGGGUCUUAGCAACUUGAUGAAAGGCUGUGUGUCACUAUGGACUUCAGGGGCCUCUUGAACUCUCUGAGGCCUAACAGCCUCCAGCAACACUUGUCCUUAGCCAACCGAGACCAGGGCAGUGAUGUGGGUGGCGAGGGUUCCAGCACCUUGUCUGUGACUCCCCAGCCCCUCCCAGCCUCAGCGAGCCCUUCCCGGGGGCACAUCAAAUCCACUGACCUGCAGGCUGAGUUGGCGGCUUCAGGUUAAUGUUGUGGUUGAAGCGAGGUUCCCGAAUGGCCUCUGGAGCAUCGUAAUUGCGGAACAGGUGGAGCUCUGCGGGCUGCCGGUCAGACAGUGUCCCCGUGAGCAUCACCCUGCGGGAACAACAGAGGGGAGCUGGCUCAGCCAUCCAUCGUCUCCUCAACAGGUCAUGCCCUGGACCCUGUUCUGAGUGGGCUUCCCCCUGGCUGUCCUCACACAAGCGUCUCCUGUAGAUCCGGGCAGCUUCAUGAAGGGGAUUGGCCAACUCUGCCCUAUUUACUCACAGCUGUUUCCCUAUCCAAUAACCCCACUCUGGAAAUUUCUGGAAAUUCACCCCAGGAGGUCUCCAGGGCAGCAGACAGGCUGCACAGAGCCACCAGUGGCAGCAUCCAUUAUUAGAACAGAUGACUGGGGACAACCUCACCGUCCACUGGGGACAACCUCACGGUCCACUGGCAAGCCAGCUGUCAUAGCCACGACUCCUUACUCAUGGGGGGCAUGACACUGAAUAACAACCAUGGUGGCACUUGCUGGGGUCCAAGGAGCAGGUACACAAGGAAAGUAAGGUCUGGGGCAGUGUCUUCAGCACGCUGUGAGGUGUUUAGAAACAAAUCAACAGGAUAACUACUCAGCUGGGUAGAGGCCAACUCUGGAAGGCCUGAGCGCAGUGAGCAGACUCCAGGACCUGGGGUGAGCUGAGGGGUGGAGAGCAUCCCCCACUGUGACCUUGGACACCUUCCUUUUAUGUCUUCUUUCUGUCAUUUCAACAGCCAUUAAAAAAGCCCCUCUUCCCACGGGGGGGGGGGGAGGCCUGGAGAAACAGCUCAGCAGUUAAGAGCAUCUGCUGCUCCUUCAGAGGACAUGAGUUCAAUUCCAAAAACCCAUAGGAUGGCUCAUAACCAUCUAUAUAUAACUGUAGUCCCAGGGAACUGGAUGCCUCCGCUGGCCUCUGCAGGUACCAUGUAUGAAUGCAGUACACAGACAUACAUGCAGGGAAACAUUCACACACAUACAGCAACAAUAAAAAGAGAGCUCCUCCUAACCCUGCAACAAAGAAUCCAGCACAGACCCUUGAAAAUCAGCGUGUGUUCAGAUCCUUGCACAGCGUGGUUCUGUGAGCUCCAGCUCCCACCCUGGAAAGGAAGGGCUCUCUGUAGGGCUCUCAGCACCGCGGCUGCUAGCCACCCCGUCUAUCUAACUGGAGUAGCAGCACACACAGGUGUCCGUGAACGAUGAGAAUCCAACCAAGGUCCUCUGGAAAAGUGGCCAGCGCUCUUCACCGCUGAAACAUCCCUCCAGUCUGAACGGAGCUGAGAAGAUGGCUCCGUGGUCAAGAGUGCUUCCUGCUUUCACCAAGGACGAGGACAAGGCUGGUUCUCAGCGCCACGUCAGGGGGUCAUAAUCGCCUGCCACUCCAGCACCAGGGAACCCAUGACUUCCAGUCUCUGAGGACACCCACACACACGGGCACACACAAGACAGGAUAAGCGGGGGUCAAAAGUCCACCGAUCUGAGGUCUAAUGGAGACUAUUCUAUGUUGGGUUGGGACUCUGAAGGGUUACACUCCCAGGAUAAAUACAGACCAGACACAAACAUGACAUGCCCUUUUACA
Molecule: long non-coding RNA, 5029 nt
Organism: Mesocricetus auratus (golden hamster)
Lineage: Eukaryota; Metazoa; Chordata; Mammalia; Rodentia; Cricetidae
Exons: 2
Source: RefSeq, a predicted model, not a curated record